UUAGAACCCCGCGAGGCAGGGUGAGGGGCGCCACCGAGGAAGCGCCCACCGGGCUCCCGGGGCUGCCAGGCCCCAAAUUGAGGAAGUUGACUGCCAGAUCACACUCUGUUGGCCCACGCAGAUAGAUUCCAUUCAUCCUUUCUAAUGUCUACACCAUAUUUUGGAUAACAUGCCAUCAUCUCACAUUGUGUUGAAAGAAGAAACCAGAAUGUUGGGGUUGAUGUAUGCCAUAUGGAUGAAUUUAAACAGUUUCGGCCUUGCAAUAAUUGGUAUACUUCUAAUUGCAUGUGAAAUUAUACUCUUUUUAACGAAAGAUGAAACUAUUCAGUGGCCACAUGUACCCAGUAACAGAGGGAGCAAAGCAAAUCUUAUCCUCAAAGAACUGCAGCUGCUUGUUAGAUCUACCUGGUGGUUCCAUAGAGAAACUGCUCAGAGAACCUGCCUUUACCUCGCCUAAAACAGAACUAUCCCGGAGCUCAGCAAAGGAGUCCAUUCAUCCUCUAUAACUGCUAUACAAUAUCUCUGUUAAAAUGCUGAGAAGAUUUAUCCUAAAAGAAGGCACCAAAGCAAUGGGGUUCAUCAACUCAGGAUCCAGUAGUGUAAUACAGAAGCCUGUUACGAGAUAUAAGCAAUUGUAAUGAACAGCAUAACUAUUUGUGUGACUACACUUGGUAUAAUUCUAUUAAGCAUGGAGAUUGCAACUUUUGCAUUAAAUGCAACCACAUACAAUUGGUCAAACAUGGUUGGUAUGAUGCUUUUACAAUAUUUACUACUCUGCACCAUCUUAGAGAUGACCAUUGUAAUCAUAAUCAUCCAGUGGGUUGUAAGAGCAUUUCAUCAUGAAAAACACACUGAAGAAAGUGAGUAACUUUGUUUCUGGCAGUCAAAUCAAGAUAAAGGCAGUUUAUAAUAAGGGCCCUCUCUGAGAGUUCAAAGUUUA
RNAcentral lists this long non-coding RNA (940 nucleotides) under Homo sapiens (human). Its description in RNAcentral is "HSALNT0362934". The record is from RNAcentral. Lineage: Eukaryota; Metazoa; Chordata; Mammalia; Primates; Hominidae.